Molecule: ribosomal RNA, 495 nt
Filed under: uncultured Sediminibacterium sp.
Lineage: Bacteria; Pseudomonadati; Bacteroidota; Chitinophagia; Chitinophagales; Chitinophagaceae
Description: bacterial SSU rRNA
Rfam family: Bacterial small subunit ribosomal RNA
Source: RNAcentral
UUAGGCGUCAGGAGUGAACGCUAGACGGCAAGGCUUAAUACAUGCAAGUCUGGGGCAGCGCAGUGUAGCAAUACAUGGCGGCGAACCGGCAAACGGUGCGGAACACGUACACAACCUUCCUACAAGUGGGAAUAGCCCAGAGAAAUUUGAUUAAUACCCGUAACAUAUAAAGAUGGCAUCAUUUUUAUAUUAUAGCUACGGCGCUUGUUGAUGGGUGUGCGGCUGAUUAGGUAGUUGGCGGGGUAAUGGCCCACCAAGCCUGCGAUCAGUAGCUGAUGUGAGAGCAUGAUCAGCCACACGGGCACUGAGACACGGGCCCGACUCCUACGGGAGGCAGCAGUAAGGAAUAUUGGACAAUGGGCGCAAGCCUGAUCCAGCCAUGCCGCGUGAAGGAUUAGGGUCCUCUGGAUUGUAAACUUCUUUUAUAAGGGACGAAAAAAGGGAAUUCUUUCUCACUUGACGGUACCUUAUGAAUAAGCACCGGCUAACUCCGUG